RNAcentral lists this ribosomal RNA (460 nucleotides) under uncultured bacterium. RNAcentral's name for it is "partial 16S ribosomal RNA". It matches the Rfam family "Bacterial small subunit ribosomal RNA", at positions 338 to 795 of the family's 1533-position model. The record is from RNAcentral.
CCUACGAGUGGCAGCAGUGAGGAAUAUUGGUCAAUGGGCGCGAGCCUGAACCAGCCAAGUAGCGUUAAGGAUGACUGCCCUACGGGUUGUAAACUUCCUUUAUAAAGGAAUAAAGUGAGGCACGUGUGCCUUUUUGUAUGUACUUUAUUAAUAAGGAUCGGCUAAAUCCGUGCCAGCAGCCGCGGUAAUACGGAGGAUCCGAGCGUUAUCCGGAUUUAUUGGGUUUAAAGGGAGCGUAGAUGGGUUGUUAAAUCAGUUGUGAAAGUUUGCGGCUCAAACGUAAAAUUGCAAUUGAUACUGGCAGUCUUGAGUACAGUUGAGGUAGGCGGAAUUCGUGGUGUAGCGGUGAAAUGCUUAGAUAUCACGAAGAACUCCGAUUGCGAAGGCAGCUUACUAAACUGCCACUGACAUUGAUGCUCGAAAGUGUGGGUAUCAAACAGGAUUAGAUACCCGAGUAGUC